Molecule: long non-coding RNA, 1164 nt
Filed under: Cyanistes caeruleus (blue tit)
Lineage: Eukaryota; Metazoa; Chordata; Aves; Passeriformes; Paridae
Description: lncRNA (ENSCCEG00000000738.1)
Source: RNAcentral
AAGGGACGUUCCAUAUUCCACACCAUUUAAUUAAUUGCUCAGCAUUAAAAGCUUGGUAAAAGGAGGAGGAAGGGCAGUUGUUUGUGGUUAUGGUGGUCUUCCCAAGCAGCUGUGUGCAUGUUGAGGUGUAGCUUCCCACAAAGGUAGCUAGAGAUCUGCCUGUUGAUGAGAACCAGGGAAUGAACUCCCAUUUUUCUUUACUUGCAUGUGCAGCUUUCCUUUCCCUUUCCCAGUAUCCUUAUCUCAGUGCACAAGUCUAGCCUUUCUUUUAUUUUGUCAAAGGACUGGGAGGGAGUCAGGGUGGGUGUUUGGCUGUUGAUUGGGGUCAGUCUGUCACAAAGGCAUGUCUUAUCCAUGAACAUGUUCAGGAUAUAGUUACAGACAUGGGCUGACAUGAUGGUGAUUGUAAUGCAGGUGGAAGCCUCUAAAUUUGAGAUCUCAGAAUACCAAGGUAAAUACUGAACUGACCGUGUGAACUUCUUGUUAAAAAAUCUAAUUCAGUUUUAAAAAGCUUUAAAACUACUUAUUUCUUUCAUUGACUUGCUGGGGAAUUGGAUUAUUAGAAGUAAUACCUGUGUUUUUCCCAGCUGUCUGCUCUGUUUAAUUCAAAGGGAAGGUAAUAGAAAUGAUCAUAACCCAAAUGUGUUGCAACAUGACAGUCACUGAUGUUGUAAAAGCCUUAUUGUAAUCCACUUAUUCUAAGUGGAUUUGCAAGCUGUUGUGGCUUGGAGUUGCUCCUUUUGGUACAACUUCAAACCUACCAAGUGAAGUAAGCAAGCCCUGAUGUUGUAAGAACCAGACAAGUCAAACCUGCCCUGACCUCUGCUUUCAACCUUUCACACAAGUCAGACAGACUGGGUGAUGAAGAACAUCAGAGUGCCUCAUCAGCCAAGCACAGUGCAGAUGGGAGCUCUACAAGGAUCUCAGGUCAGCAUACAAGGAAACAGCACCUGAAUCAGGAUUUAUUUUCUCAUUGUAGUGCCACUGUUAUAGUCAGAGACAACAGAAGUUGAUUCCUUGGCAGAUCAUCCAGCAGAGGAAGAAUUUAAAGAUCUGUGUCCCUGGGGAAGCCAGCAUAAGCCUGAAUGAAACUCCUGUGUGUGGCAGUAAAUUCAGGGUUUGAGUCCUUACAGCCAGUGACAAGAUCCCAAGAAGGUAAGCAGU